This 445-nucleotide ribosomal RNA is filed under the name Neurigona cf. angulata SNK-2009. Its description in RNAcentral is "partial 16S ribosomal RNA". It matches the Rfam family "Bacterial large subunit ribosomal RNA", at positions 1912 to 2571 of the family's 2925-position model. Lineage: Eukaryota; Metazoa; Arthropoda; Insecta; Diptera; Dolichopodidae. The record is from RNAcentral.
CUGAUUUAUUAAAUGGCCGCAGUAUUCUAACUGUGCAAAGGUAGCAUAAUCAUUAGUUUUUUAAUUGAAAGCUUGUAUGAAUGAUUGGACGAGAUAUUAGCUGUCUCAUAAAAAUAAUUUGAAUUUUAUUUUUUAGUCAAAAAGCUAAAAUAGUUUUAAAAGACGAGAAGACCCUAUAGAUCUUUAUAACUAUUAUUAUAAUAUUUUUUUAGUAAAAUUAUUUUAUUAUAAAUAAGGUUAUUUUGUUGGGGUGACAGUAAAAUUUAUUAAACUUUUAUUAUUUUAUAACAUAAAUUAAUGAAUUGUUGAUCCUUUAUUAAAGAUUAAAAAUUUAAGUUACCUUAGGGAUAACAGCGUAAUUAUUUUGGAGAGUUCAUAUCAAUAAAAUAGAUUGCGACCUCGAUGUUGGAUUAAGAUUAAUUUUUGGUGCAGAAGCUAAAAAUAU